UGGCGGCAGGCCUAACACAUGCAAGUCGAGCGGCAGCACGGGGAGCUUGCUCCCUGGUGGCGAGCGGCGGACGGGUGAGUAACGCAUAGGAAUCUGCCCGGUAGUGGGGGAUAACCUGGGGAAACCCAGGCUAAUACCGCAUACGUCCCACGGGAGAAAGCGGGGGCUCUUCGGACCUCGCGCUAUCGGAUGAGCCUAUGUCGGAUUAGCUGGUUGGUGAGGUAACGGCUCACCAAGGCGACGAUCCGUAGCUGGUCUGAGAGGAUGAUCAUCACACUGGGACUGAGACACGGCCCAGACUCCUACGGGAGGCAGCAGUGGGGAAUAUUGGACAAUGGGCGCAAGCCUGAUCCAGCCAUGCCGCGUGUGUGAAGAAGGCUUUCGGGUUGUAAAGCACUUUCAGUGGGGAAGAAAGCUUGCCGGCCAAUACCCGGCAAGAAGGACAUCACCCACAGAAGAAGCACCGGCUAACUCCGUGCAUAGCCG
RNAcentral lists this ribosomal RNA (486 nucleotides) under uncultured Salinicola sp. RNAcentral describes it as "bacterial SSU rRNA". It matches the Rfam family "Bacterial small subunit ribosomal RNA", at positions 37 to 517 of the family's 1533-position model. The record is from RNAcentral. Lineage: Bacteria; Pseudomonadati; Pseudomonadota; Gammaproteobacteria; Oceanospirillales; Halomonadaceae.